Molecule: ribosomal RNA, 494 nt
Filed under: uncultured bacterium
Lineage: Bacteria
Description: partial 16S ribosomal RNA
Rfam family: Bacterial small subunit ribosomal RNA
Source: RNAcentral
GACGAACGCUGGCGGCGUGCUUAACACAUGCAAGUCGGACGGAAAGGCCUGCUUUCCCUUGUGGAUUGCGGGUACUCGCGUGGCGAACGGGUGAGUAACACGUGAGUGAUCUGCCCCCAACUUGGGUAUAAGCCUGGGAAACUGGGUCUAAUUCCCGAUAGGACUGCAGGGUGGUGCCUGUGGUGGAAAACGAUUUUCUAGUGGUUGGGGAUGAGCUCGCGGCCUAUCAGCUUGUUGGUGGGGUAAUGGCCUACCAAGGCGGCGACGGGUAGCCGGCCUGGGAGGGUGGACGGCCACAUUGGGACUGAGAUACGGCCCAGACUCCUACGGGAGGCAGCAGUGGGGAAUAUUGCACAAUGGGCGGAAGCCUGAUGCAGCGACGCCGCGUGGGGGAUGACGGCCGUCGGGUUGUAAACCCCUUUCGACCGCGAGGAAGCCACCUGGUUGGAAGGGUGGUGACGGUAGUGGUAGAAGAAGCACCGGCUAACUACGUG